CGUUACCUGUUAAUUUGUAUAGUUCACGGGCAGUAAAUUCACAUAUAUAAUUAAGAACGUAGUAUGUGUUAACAUAUAGUCGUAAAAAUUUUCAAAUGUAACGCAGCUAGCUUAAAAAUUAGAAAUAGCUAUAUUUAAUCUAAUAAAUCAUAAAAACAACCGACCAAUAUUAACUGCUAUAUUUUCGAAAUGUUUGUUUUUGAAUUGGUAUGAAGCGGCAAGAUUUCAGGAUGAAAAGUAGUUCAGAUGCUUACAUUUAUGUGUAUAUAAAGUUUGAUACGAAGUAUACAUGAAUGUGAAUGUAUGUGUGUUGUAUUUAUCGAAAGUCAGGUGGUGCCUCAAAAAAACUGUGGCCUAAUUAAAAUGGCAAUGAAAAUAUUGUUUCUCAUUUUUAUAUUUAUAGUCACUUGACGCAGUGCCAAAAUGAUUUGCAUAACAUUUUUUGCUCAAUUAAUUCAACUAUUAUGACAAAAAACAGCAAAAAAAAAAGAAAUAGAAAAAACAACAAACACAUGCUGUAGCACAUGAAAUUUUCUCGCUACAGCUAUACCCAGUGGGAUAAUGGUUCACCGCUUACAUUUUUCUUUGAAUAGUGCUCCGAAGAAAAUUCUAUGUAGAAUUCUUCGAUACUAGGUGAAGCAUAUAAGUCAAGGGAUCCAUAGAAUACUACACUGUACCGUACAGUCAACACCGUGUCUGGGAGUGACUACUCCUCACCAGAAUAUAGAAGGAGCACCACCUUACCGUAAUUACCGUACCCACUUCGACAAGAACCAACGCCUGGCACACCAAAUCCAAUCGAUUCCACCUGACUCGCCAUAUAAAUAUAAGCUGGUCUGGCUGUCCAUAUAAGGGGUGUGGAUACAUCUAUUACAAAAAGUAAAUAUUCUUUGCUAAGGGUUCGUGGGUCCCACGGCUGACCUURGAGCGGCUGAGCAUACCUCAGCUAUGGACGAAACCCCAUUACACAUGUUUAGAUUAUGGGAAUGGAUUCGAGAUUCUCCUGAAUUUCGUUACAAGAAUAUAUAAUUAUUUUAUUAA
Molecule: long non-coding RNA, 1041 nt
Organism: Bactrocera latifrons
Lineage: Eukaryota; Metazoa; Arthropoda; Insecta; Diptera; Tephritidae
Exons: 3
Source: RefSeq, a predicted model, not a curated record